Apiotrichum porosum is the source of this 120-nucleotide non-coding RNA. NCBI's taxonomy places the organism in Eukaryota, Fungi, Basidiomycota, Tremellomycetes, Trichosporonales, Trichosporonaceae. The record is from the annotation of a RefSeq genome assembly.
GGCGAGAUGGCCGAGCGGUCUAAGGCGCUGUGUUAAGGUGUGACACCCUCUUACUCAAGUUCUUGAGCAAGAGAUCUCAUCCGCAGUCUUCGGACGUGGGUUCGAAUCCCACUCUCGUCA